Dipodomys spectabilis (banner-tailed kangaroo rat) is the source of this 97-nucleotide long non-coding RNA. RefSeq lists it as uncharacterized. NCBI's taxonomy places the organism in Eukaryota, Metazoa, Chordata, Mammalia, Rodentia, Heteromyidae. The transcript is spliced from 3 exons. The record is from RefSeq and is a predicted model, not a curated record.
GCUGGUGGCUCAUGCCUGUAAUCCUAGCUACUUGGGAGGCUGAGACUUGAAGAGCACAGUUUGAAGCUAUCCCUGGAGGCAAAGUCUGUGAGACUCU